GUUGGGUAUGGAGACAUCUAUCCCAAGACUCUCCUGGGGAAAAUUGUGGGGGGUCUCUGCUGCAUCGCAGGGGUCCUGGUGAUUGCUCUUCCCAUCCCCAUCAUUGUCAAUAAC
This is a non-coding RNA of Sus scrofa (pig), 114 nucleotides long. The record is from Rfam. Lineage: Eukaryota; Metazoa; Chordata; Mammalia; Artiodactyla; Suidae.